This 205-nucleotide long non-coding RNA is filed under the name Elaeis guineensis (African oil palm). Its description in RNAcentral is "long non-coding RNA (EGUI_LNC058190)". The record is from RNAcentral. Lineage: Eukaryota; Viridiplantae; Streptophyta; Magnoliopsida; Arecales; Arecaceae.
GGUCAAUUGUUUUUGGAUUCUUCAAUCUCAAGAGAGUAGUAUAAUGCAUCAAAAAUGCUUACUGAAUCUUUUCUCGGAUGUUGAGAAUUUUAUCUUCAUCAUGAAUUGCUAGAAUUUGAUUUUGCCUCCUUCUGUUUGAUGUACUAAUAAGAAAAAGUCUUGUGUUAUGGUCUUUCUCAUUUAACCAUUAGUUCCUAGGCUAUUG